GUAGAGAGAUGACAGGAAAGAGCGGAGCUGGAUCGCCAAAGGACCUCGAGACGGGAAUCGAACUCGGGUCGCAGUGAGCAGAGGCUUACCACAAGGCUAUUGGUGUCCACUUGUUUAUCUGUUACACAACCGUUCAAAAGUUUAGGGUUGGUAAGAUUUGUAAUGUUUUAAAGGACCUCACUUAUGCUCACCAAGGCUGCAUUUGAUCAUAAAAUAUAGUAAUAUUGUGAAAUAUUACAAUUUAACAUAACAAACUUAUUUCUAUAAAAUAUAUGUAAUAUCUUUUAAUGAUGAUCAUUUUUUUUUCAGCUAAAUUUUUUAGCUAAAAAAAAACAAUUAUUAUCAACAUUAUUAUAAUUUAAUACUUAGUGGAAACUGAAUCCUUUUUUUGCACGAUAUCUUCACUGAUGAACAGAAUUUCAAAAGAACAGCAUUUAUUUCAAACAGAAUAUAAAUAGAAAUAAUAUAAAUAAACAUCUUUACUUUUGAUUAGUUUAAUCCAUCUUUCCGGAAUAAAAGUUUUUUUUUUUUACUUACUCAAAUAUUUUAAAUUUAUGUUUAGGAGACACUUUUAUCCAAAGCAACUUACAAAUGAGGGCAAAACAACAAAAGAGCGACAAUAUUUAUUUAUUUAUUUAUUUGCUAGUAGUAGAGGAAACGUCACCAAGGCUCGCCCCAAUCGCUACAGUGAUCGAAAGUACAAAAUCGCUCAUAACUAGGGCUGUUCGAUUCUGAAAAUUUUGGAAUCGAGUCCGAUUCCGAUUCCUGGUUCUGGAAUCCUUUAGAUUCGAUUCCAAGAAUCGAUUCCUCACUGUUGUUUUCGAUUCUUUUUCAAUUCUUAUUUUGUUUAGAGUGGAGGAACCUAAUUUCGCCAUGACUGUAGGAUAUAAAGGUCUUAGAAAGCAGACUUAUCAUAAUAGGAAGCUUUAUUUUAAAAAAAAAAUUAUGAUAUAUUUUUGUAUUUAAGUUGUAAUUUUGUGUGCAUUGCACAUGAAAUUAGUCACAGCCCACAGCGCAGUUCAGCUGAAUGAUGUGUACUUCAACUGUAUGCUUUGCGCAAAAUGAACAAACUGUACACUGAAACAAAAUAACCAGAACAACAACACUAAUAUACAGUGUUGGGGGUAAAUGUGAACAUGCAUUAAUUCAUCUCACUCAAAAACAAAAAACAAAAAACAGAUUCAGUAUUUCUCAAAAUGAAUAAAAACGCAGAACGCAGAAUAUGAUGCAACCCUGCAAUAAUUAAACAUGUUAAAACAAAUAUCCUUUAUGUAUUUAAUCCCAUUUUAUUAACCAGUGUCUUUGCUGCUGUUAACUUUCGAUGAUGCAAUUCAACCAUACUAAUAAGCAAAAAUUACUUUAGAUAUAUUAAUAUUUGUGCUUCAUUUUUUUAUUACUGAAGAGUGAUCUCCUGCAUAAAUCUUUUCUUUCAGUCUGAGGUGAAUUCAUUUCACUUUUGGUGUAAAAUGGCUUUUACAUUAGAAUUGUUUUAUAAUAAAAACUAAGAAGCAAGCCCUGCCCAGAUUUUAAAAGUAAGGCAAAAGUAGCGUAACGCAUUACUUUGCAUACAAAGUGAAUACGUAACGUAAUUAGUUACUUUUUCGGGCAGUAACACAAAAUUGUAAUGCAUUAUUUUUAAAAGUAACUUUCCUCAACACUGCUAAUAAGAGUUCCUUGUUUAUCUGUAAAUCAGAUGGGCUCUCGGCCACUGAUCUGCACUGUAGAAAAAAUCCGUAAAAAUACAGUACAAUAUACCCUAAUAAUUACAGGAAAUUUUCCGUUUUUGGUUUUUACAGGUGUUUUUCCGUAUUUUUGAAUUACGCUUUGCAUUGUGGGAACAAGAACGUUGAUGGCUUACAUAGGCGCGAAAACAGUGAAGAGAAGACGCGGAGAGUUUCUCGGUCAAAGUUUCAUUUUAAUGUCGGCUUUCGAAUUUGGGAAACAUGUUUUUCAUAUACUCUUAGUGGUAAACGAGUUAAAUGUCACAUAAAUUGUUUACGUAACGUUAACUUAGUUGCUGUCUGGCUUGUUUGGCAAAUGAACGUCAGAGCUGUCGCACUCAACAUUUCUCUGCAUAUCGUCAGACAUCUUCCUCGUGGAGUUUUCUGCCAAAGGAGGUAAGGUUUGACCUUUUAUUGUCUUUUUUACACACACACGGAAGAUAAAAUGCAAAACGGAAACUAAUUCGGUAACGUUACUAGCAAGCUGUCUGUGAAGCGACUGUGUAAACAGAGGCCUCCGAUGCGCGGUAACCGCGCCAGAUGCCGCUUGCCAGUAACGUUAACGUCAGCUCCUCGAGUUAUCUUUAUCACUCUAAUGGACAAAUGCACACGACAUUAUGUCAAAAUGACCGCUGUGUUUCUUUCGUUUUCUUUUUUAAUGACAGGAUGUGAUUGCUGCUGUACUGUGAAUCUCAAGCACACCCUCAUUCUUAUCAUGGGUGAUGGGCAGUUCAAGAAGUUAAUGACCACUGUUGCGGUUGUGAGCUACAAAUACCCAGAAGAGGCGGCACUUCAUACAGAAAGUUUUCCUGUGAAGAAAUCCUAAAUGAGGGUUGAGAUGAAGGCAACCAGGUGAUGGGCAGUUCAAGAUUGCUGUCGUUUGAGAAGUUAAUGAACAAACCUUCUUUCCUGUUGCGGUUGUGAGCUACAAAAUACCCAGAGGAGGCGGCACUUACUCUGGAGCUCAUACAGAAAAUUUUCCUGUGAAGAAAUCCUGAACGUGGUUUGAGAUGAAGGCAACCAAGUGGCUGUGCAUUCCUCCAAGACUCUUGCAUGAACAAUUUUGGAAAUCCAUGUAAUAUUUGAGUUUUCAAAUUGAAAAAAAUGGCACUUGCAUUAAACAUGCAGUUAAAUGGGAAAUAAUACAUCCCCUAUAAUGAAUUGCAUCACUUCAAUGAUAUUUCUGGUACAAUGAACUUCAAAAUUCUGUUGUCAAGCCACUGGAGUCACAUACUUUAUACCUUUCUGGACCUUGAAAAUGGUAGUUGCAUAGACAAUCAAUAGAGGGACAGAAAGUACCCAGAUUUUUCUGCCGCUCCAUGUUAGAUUAGCCCCCUCUAUCUCUGCCUUCAAGUCUGCUCUAAAGACAUCUUUUCUCUCUUGCUUUCAAUACUCCUUGAACUCUAUUCCAUUGUUGCUUUUAUUGUUGUUUUUAUUUUUGAUACUUUUGUUGUGCUAAUUUUAUGUCUGAGAUUUUCUUAUUCUACUAUGUUCAGCACUUUGGUCAACUCUGGUUGUUUUUAAAUGUGAUUUAUAUAUAAAUAUUGUAUUGUAUUGUAACUAAAAAUACUCUUAAUUUGUGUUCCAAAAAUGAAUGAAAGUCUUAUGGGUUUGGAAAGGUAUGAGGCUGAGUAAUUGACUGAAUUAACAUUUUUGUGUGAACGAUUCCUCUAAACAAUAUUGUUUUCUCUUAUAAGAAAAAAAAGUUUUGAGCCUUGACUGUUUUACAGUUUGAAGUUUAAAUUUUGUGACCACUUUUUAGUGCAACACCUGUAUUGUACAGAUGCUCAUGUUUUCUUUUUCUUUUUUUUUUUUAAUUCUGUCCUUUACUGUUUAAAGCUAAACUGUCUUUUACAAUACAGCCAUUUUGCCUGAGUUAACACAUUGUUAAAUGAAUUUAGUAUUUGAUAUUGUUUAGUCCUAACCCACUUAAGGCAAACAAAAGCCAUUGAAUGCACUUUUAAGAAUGUUUACAUGAAGUAAAAAUAAACCAUGUUCACUUUGUAUAUUGUGCUGGAUUUAU
Molecule: long non-coding RNA, 3744 nt
Organism: Labeo rohita (rohu)
Lineage: Eukaryota; Metazoa; Chordata; Actinopteri; Cypriniformes; Cyprinidae
Exons: 5
Source: RefSeq, a predicted model, not a curated record